Molecule: ribosomal RNA, 178 nt
Filed under: uncultured bacterium
Lineage: Bacteria
Description: partial 16S ribosomal RNA
Rfam family: Bacterial small subunit ribosomal RNA
Source: RNAcentral
ACUCCGUGAAGCUGGAUUCGCUAGUAAUCGCGCAUCAGCCAUGGCGCGGUGAAUACGUUCCCGGGCCUUGUACACACCGCCCGUCAAGCCAUGGGAGCCGGGGGCACUUGAAGUACGCCGCCGCGAGGAGCGUCCUAGAGUGAAACUGGCGACUGGGGCUAAGUCGUAACAAGGUACC